RNAcentral lists this ribosomal RNA (497 nucleotides) under uncultured bacterium. Its description in RNAcentral is "partial 16S ribosomal RNA". It matches the Rfam family "Bacterial small subunit ribosomal RNA", at positions 28 to 507 of the family's 1533-position model. The record is from RNAcentral.
GAUGAACGCUGGCGGCGUGCCUAAUACAUGCAAGUCGAGCGAACAGACGAGGAGCUUGCUCCUCUGACGUUAGCGGCGGACGGGUGAGUAACACGUGGAUAACCUACCUAUAAGACUGGGAUAACUUCGGGAAACCGGAGCUAAUACCGGAUAAUAUAUUGAACCGCAUGGUUCAAUAGUGAAAGACGGUUUUGCUGUCACUUAUAGAUGGAUCCGCGCCGCAUUAGCUAGUUGGUAAGGUAACGGCUUACCAAGGCAACGAUGCGUAGCCGACCUGAGAGGGUGAUCGGCCACACUGGAACUUAGAAACGGUCCAGACUACUAAGGGAGGCAGCAGUAGGGAAUCUUACGCAAUGGGCGAAAGCCUGACGGAGCAACGCCGCGUGAGUGAUGAAGGUCUUCGGAUCGUAAAACUCUGUUAUUAGGGAAGAACAAAUGUGUAAGUAACUAUGCACGUCUUGACGGUACCUAAUCAGAAAGCCACGGCUAACUACGUG